AUGUUUUAUAGAAUUGAAAAUCUCUACUGGAAGUGUCAAACCGUGGUUCUAUCAGGGUCCAUAGGAAAAGUCCCACUCCCUUCAGCGGGACCAGGACUGCUCAUCCUUCCCAAAGCUCAGAGCGACUGCUCUGCAGCUGCUCCUGGUUGUGGGGUGCUCCGUGUUUCCUCCUCUGCCUUUCCACCGCAGCUCGGGUGCCGCCCGUGCUCAUUCUCUCUCAGCUCCCCGCUCGCACUGGCUCUCAGCUCUGCUCGGAUCCUUGCCCUGGGAGCUGUACCUGUCACUUGCAGAGUUUACCUGCUCUCCCUGCUACAGCCGAGGUGCACAAGAGCGAGCGUGGGGACUGUAAAACAGCACGAGGCAGGACGACUCUGUAGGGGCUUGAACAACUUUCCACAGCAGGCAGCACAGAAGACUGGGUCCAAAAGGUGUCUGAUGCCCACUGGAGGUAACGACCAUGAAAUCCGGCUUGCAAGUGGAACCUGCAAACCUCUUCCAGGAACGAGGCCCUGUGGGUUCCUGAAAAAGACAAUUUCUAUUAAGGUCUGACAGAGCUCACUUGGAGAGAAGGCAGCAUGGCAACUCCUGUAUGCAAUCUAGUUGCAGGGUGAGAGAAUACUGCAGCUGGCUGUGGUUAAAGAAUUUGUUGUGGUACCUUCUGAUCUUUCUUCCUGAAGAAUUAAAGAGUGCUCUUGCGACAACAGCUCUAACAGGCUUUGGGAUAAGCCAUGGGCUCUUUCACUGGUGAUAGAGACUGCACAUUAUGCAAAUUGUCUCCUGCAAAUUUACAGGAAUUUCCGCCCUUAAAGGCCUAAUUUAUGAUAGUGUUUGACAUUUUUUUUCCCCUGGAUUUUAAAACUACGAUAUUCCUCUGUUGUGCUAAAAAUUACAUUACUGAUGAUAGACAUCUUUCAGUAUAAAGGAUUCUCC
This 930-nucleotide long non-coding RNA is filed under the name Chloebia gouldiae (Gouldian finch). RNAcentral's name for it is "Erythrura gouldiae (Gouldian finch) lncRNA (ENSEGOG00005003983.1)". Lineage: Eukaryota; Metazoa; Chordata; Aves; Passeriformes; Passeridae. The record is from RNAcentral.